This 424-nucleotide ribosomal RNA is filed under the name uncultured bacterium. RNAcentral's name for it is "bacterial SSU rRNA". It matches the Rfam family "Bacterial small subunit ribosomal RNA", at positions 359 to 775 of the family's 1533-position model. The record is from RNAcentral.
GAAUAUUGGACAAUGGGCGCAAGCCUGAUCCAGCCAUGCCGCGUGUGUGAAGAAGGCCUUCGGGUUGUAAAGCACUUUUGUCCGGAAAGAAAUCCAAUCGAUUAAUACUCGGUUGGGAUGACGGUACCGGAAGAAUACGCACCGGCUAACUUCGUGCCAGCAGCCGCGGUAAUCCGAAGGGUGCAAGCGUUGCUCGGAAUCACUGGGCGUAAAGCGUACGCAGGCGGCGCGUUAAGUCGGGUGUGAAAGCCCGGGGCUCAACCCCGGAAUUGCAUUCGAUACUGGCGUGCUCGAGUGCGGGAGAGGGAAGCGGAAUUCCUGGUGUAGAGGUGAAAUUCGUAGAUAUCAGGAGGAACACCAGUGGCGAAAGCGGCUUCCUGGCCCGAUACUGACGCUCAUGUACGAAAGCGUGGGGAGCAAACAG